AACGCCAUAGUAUAGGAUGUAGUUCAGAAAAUGUCAAAGUAUAGUAUACUUUACUCAAGAAUAACAUAGUAUGGUCUGUAGUUCAUAGUAUAGCAUGUCAGCAAAAAAAACCCCUCAUUGAUUAUUAUGUGGUUCAAAAAGCGCAAAAUGAUAGGAUGUUUCCUAAAAUUGUCAUGUAUGAUUUGUGGUUCAAAAAAUGUCAUAGUGCAAUAUAUUGUCAAAAUAGUAUGAAAAACAUCAGAGUAUAAUAUGUCGUCUAAAAAAUGCCAUACAAUAAUAUUUCAUUGCACAAGUAAAAGUAUAGUAAUUUUUAAAACUGUUCAAAUUCUUAUAUGUUGCUAAAAAAACAACAAAAAAACGAAAACAAAACGAACGUCAUAGUAAUAUGUCAAUUAAAAAAGCCUAUAGUAUAGCAUGUGGCUCUAAAAACGUCAGAGUAUAGCCUGUAGUCCACAAAACAUUGUUAUGUCCUGGCUGUCUGAAGUAGGUGAGGAGCAACACAAAAACAGUCCAAACGCUGGUUUCCAGAGGGUUAGACGUUUAUUUAUUUGAAAGAGUAAGUUUACAACAACACAACAUGUGAGGGGGUUAAAAGCAAAUGAGUGUUAGUAAAAUAAAAAUAAAUAAACAGAACUAAAAGUGAACUUCAUGUUGACAUUGAUGGACAUUCCAACCAGGAACAAAGUAAAAGAUAAUCAAUACGAAAAAAACCUCUUCCUGUUCACCUCUUAAAACCCAAAAACACACCGCAGUAGCACCCUAAACUAAAACUACCAAUGGGUUCCCUGUUUUCCUUUCUGAACAAUUCAAAGGUCCCUCUCUAUCUCCCCACACAUCCACCAACCACUGGAACACAUCUCCAAAGUUCUGCCGGGCCAGCUCAGCUUCCCCUCAGAAGAAGUGGCGCCACCUGCCAGAUGAAGGAGCCUUUUGAGAGGCAGCUGGCAUCGUGAUUGGACUGUCCUUUGGUCUGUUCCAAUCCAGCUUCAGCUCCAGAGACGGCAGGCGGGACGAGUCAACGGAGGCCUGGUGGACGAAGGCAUGCAGCUGAGUACAAUCCAGAAAACAACAGAGGAGGAGUGCAGGGCCAGAACAACCAGAGUAGCAUCGUAUGUCUCUUAGAAAACAUCAUAGUAUAGCCUUUGGUAUGAAAAAACGCCAUCAUAUACAUCGUAUUUGUACAAAUAACAAGUCAAAGCAAAGAGACACACAUUGUAGAAUUGUAGUAAUUGUGGGCUGCCUGAUUUACUGAUUAUCAGUAUUUUAUUUUUUAUUGAUUUACGGUAAUAAAUCAAUUUAAAAAUGGCGCUACUUUGGCUCUGAACCUUUAUCUACCUGUGGUCGCUCUGUCUUCUGGAGUGAUUUGAUUGGUUAUACGUCAUGAAUAAAACUCCUUUAACUUAACAUCUGUAAACAAAACAAAAACGUAUCAACAAAGUUUUCUGUUAGAAUUUGUGUUCUUUUAAGUUUAACUCCAAGAUUUUAAAUACUUUCAUUUACUGCAAAUGAAUAUCUACCCCAAAUGUCUCACUAAUAAUCAUUAUCAGCCUUAAAAACCCACAAAACACCCCUCUAUACUGGACCACACUUAGUACAGUCCGGUUCCCCCUUCUAUAAAUCUGCUUGGAAUCUUCCACUUCCUGUUUGUCAAAGUGGCCUUCUACCUGGACAGGUUUUGUUGGAGCUCAUGGAACAAACAUUUUGGGUAACUGCACUUUAAUAUGGAUGGAUGACACUGAAUUAGAGUCUGUUUUAGUGAGACUGAGUUAAGAUGUGUAGCUCUGUCAUUAAAUAGGAAAUUAUUUCCCAGAAUUCACAGAGAAAAGUCUGAAAUGUUUGCUAGAUUAACGUCCCACAUGUUCUUUGGCUCAGCUAAAGCUAACUCUCUCCAACUUCUGGAUCUCUUGAGUUGCUUGUUGUUAAAAUAUCUUGCUAGAGGUGCUGAAGCUCAGAAAGUCUGAGAUGUUUGUUCAGAAUAAGCUCAUUCUCAAGUCUUAUCUGAACUGUCCUCUUUUGUUUGAACUUUCCCUGAACUUAGGAGUUAAUGACAGAGCAGCACAUCCAGACUCAGUCUCAUUUAUGUAGAGAUUAAACUUCAGUGUCAUUCAUUGAUGUUAAAGUGCAGUUUUUCAAAUGUUUGUUGCACAUGCUCCCGACUAAACCAGUCCAGGUGGAAGACGAUGUGAAGAGAAAGCUCCAGAGGAUGAAUAUCACACAUUUACAUUGGAAAUUAAUGUCCUUUAAUUAGACAUUGUCAUGCAAAAGUUGGAUUUCCCCUUAAUGAUGUUCAAAUCUUUGUUGAGUGUUUUGUUGAUGUUGGUUUCUAAAUGUUUUUUGACACUCGGCCCCAAAGAUUAAAACCUUUUACGGCUCACAAGCUGCAACAAGUCACACAUUAUCAACUAUCUUUCUGACUAAACUAAGAUAAAAAGUGAAAAACUGCCUGAUUCCUGCAUCAUGAAUGUAAAUCUUUUUGUUUUUUAUGACAGUAACCUGAAUAUAUUUGGGUUUGACAUUUUAUAAACCAUAACAAGAAAUGAAUUAGUGGAGAAAACAAUCAACUGAUUAAUGGCCAAAGAAAAUGUGUUUUCCAACAUAUAUGGCUGAAUUACUCCAACAUUACAAGAUACAUACAGUUUUAAUUCAAUUUAUUUAUAUAACACCAAUUAGAGGUCAAAUUGUCUCAAGACACUUUAUUUUUAUAGUAAGAAAUUUAAACCUCUUGACUAAUCCAAUUUAUAUAUUUAUAUUCUACCCAACAUCCUGGACUAAUGUCAGAAUGUUUUUUCUUCUUUACAAGCUGCUCUGUGUCUUUGUUCAGGUUGAGAGGACUUUGGGUAUUGAGGCUGCAAGAUCCACCAUCAUCAAUGAGGUUCAGUACACCAUGGUCAACCACGGAAUGAGCAUCGACCGGCGUCACGUCAUGCUUCUUGCUGAUCUUAUGUCCUAUAAGGACCAGACCUGCUGGGAUCUGUACAGAUGUCUUGAUGAGGGUGGGAGUGGUUUCAGUAAAGGAGAGCUGGAUCAGUCUACAAACACAUUGUUGUAACCAGUGUGGGAAAUCUUUCAGGCAGUCAAGUUAUUUGAAACGUCAUAUGCUCAUCCACACGGAAGAAAUUAGUUUUUUACUGUGAUAUUUCCUCAUGUUUGACAAAGUGGUUAUUAUCUUAACUGUGAAAUAAAAGCCCUCCUUAAACGUUA
This is a long non-coding RNA of Amphiprion ocellaris (clown anemonefish), 3201 nucleotides long. RefSeq lists it as uncharacterized. The transcript is spliced from 2 exons. NCBI's taxonomy places the organism in Eukaryota, Metazoa, Chordata, Actinopteri, Pomacentridae. The record is from RefSeq and is a predicted model, not a curated record.